This 423-nucleotide ribosomal RNA is filed under the name uncultured prokaryote. Its description in RNAcentral is "bacterial SSU rRNA". It matches the Rfam family "Bacterial small subunit ribosomal RNA", at positions 355 to 795 of the family's 1533-position model. The record is from RNAcentral.
UAGGGAAUAUUAGAAAUGGACGAAAGUCUGAUCUAGCAACACCGCGUGUGCGAAGAAGGCCUUCGGGUCGUAAAGCACUUUUUGGAAGGAAUAGGAAGGACUGUACUUCCAGAAUAAGUCUCGGCUAACUACGUGCCAGCAGCCGCGGUAACACGUAGGAGGCAAACGUUAUCCGGAUUUACUGGGCGUAAAGCGCGUGUAGGUGGUACUGUAAGUAGGGCGUGAAAGCUCCUGGCUCAACUGGGAGAGGCCGUUCUAAACUACAGAACUAGAGGAUGGUAGAGGGAGGUGGAAUUCCAGGUGUAGCGGUGGAAUGCGCAGAUAUCUGGAGGAACACCGGUGGCGAAGGCGGCCUCCUGGACCAUGCCUGACACCCAGACGCGAAAGCUAGGGUAGCAAACACGGUUGCAUCCCCUAGUAAUC